GGGUUGUGAGGUUAAGCGACUAAGCGUACACGGUGGAUGCCCUGGCAGUCAGAGGCGAUGAAGGACGUGCUAAUCUGCGAUAAGCGUCGGUAAGGUGAUAUGAACCGUUAUAACCGGCGAUUUCCGAAUGGGGAAACCCAGUGUGAUUCGUCACACUAUCAUUAACUGAAUCCAUAGGUUAAUGAGGCGAACCGGGGGAACUGAAACAUCUAAGUACCCCGAGGAAAAGAAAUCAACCGAGAUUCCCCCAGUAGCGGCGAGCGAACGGGGAGCAGCCCAGAGCCUGAAUCAGUGUGUGUGUUAGUGGAAGCGUCUGGAAAGGCGCGCGAUACAGGGUGACAGCCCCGUACACAAAAAUGCACAUGCUGUGAGCUCGAUGAGUAGGGCGGGACACGUGGUAUCCUGUCUGAAUAUGGGGGGACCAUCCUCCAAGGCUAAAUACUCCUGACUGACCGAUAGUGAACCAGUACCGUGAGGGAAAGGCGAAAAGAACCCCGGCGAGGGGAGUGAAAAAGAACCUGAAACCGUGUACGUACAAGCAGUGGGAGCACAGAGCAAUCUGUGUGACUGCGUACCUUUUGUAUAAUGGGUCAGCGACUUAUAUUCUGUAGCAAGGUUAACCGAAUAGGGGAGCCGAAGGGAAACCGAGUCUUAACUGGGCGUUAAGUUGCAGGGUAUAGACCCGAAACCCGGUGAUCUAGCCAUGGGCAGGUUGAAGGUUGGGUAACACUAACUGGAGGACCGAACCGACUAAUGUUGAAAAAUUAGCGGAUGACUUGUGGCUGGGGGUGAAAGGCCAAUCAAACCGGGAGAUAGCUGGUUCUCCCCGAAAGCUAUUUAGGUAGCGCCUCGUGAAUUCAUCUCCGGGGGUAGAGCACUGUUUCGGCAAGGGGGUCAUCCCGACUUACCAACCCGAUGCAAACUGCGAAUACCGGAGAAUGUUAUCACGGGAGACACACGGCGGGUGCUAACGUCCGUCGUGAAGAGGGAAACAACCCAGACCGCCAGCUAAGGUCCCAAAGUCAUGGUUAAGUGGGAAACGAUGUGGGAAGGCCCAGACAGCCAGGAUGUUGGCUUAGAAGCAGCCAUCAUUUAAAGAAAGCGUAAUAGCUCACUGGUCGAGUCGGCCUGCGCGGAAGAUGUAACGGGGCUAAACCAUGCACCGAAGCUGCGGCAGCGACGCUUAUGCGUUGUUGGGUAGGGGAGCGUUCUGUAAGCCUGCGAAGGUGUGCUGUGAGGCAUGCUGGAGGUAUCAGAAGUGCGAAUGCUGACAUAAGUAACGAUAAAGCGGGUGAAAAGCCCGCUCGCCGGAAGACCAAGGGUUCCUGUCCAACGUUAAUCGGGGCAGGGUGAGUCGACCCCUAAGGCGAGGCCGAAAGGCGUAGUCGAUGGGAAACAGGUUAAUAUUCCUGUACUUGGUGUUACUGCGAAGGGGGGACGGAGAAGGCUAUGUUGGCCGGGCGACGGUUGUCCCGGUUUAAGCGUGUAGGCUGGUUUUCCAGGCAAAUCCGGAAAAUCAAGGCUGAGGCGUGAUGACGAGGCACUACGGUGCUGAAGCAACAAAUGCCCUGCUUCCAGGAAAAGCCUCUAAGCAUCAGGUAACAUCAAAUCGUACCCCAAACCGACACAGGUGGUCAGGUAGAGAAUACCAAGGCGCUUGAGAGAACUCGGGUGAAGGAACUAGGCAAAAUGGUGCCGUAACUUCGGGAGAAGGCACGCUGAUAUGUAGGUGAAGCGACUUGCUCGUGGAGCUGAAAUCAGUCGAAGAUACCAGCUGGCUGCAACUGUUUAUUAAAAACACAGCACUGUGCAAACACGAAAGUGGACGUAUACGGUGUGACGCCUGCCCGGUGCCGGAAGGUUAAUUGAUGGGGUCAGCGCAAGCGAAGCUCUUGAUCGAAGCCCCGGUAAACGGCGGCCGUAACUAUAACGGUCCUAAGGUAGCGAAAUUCCUUGUCGGGUAAGUUCCGACCUGCACGAAUGGCGUAAUGAUGGCCAGGCUGUCUCCACCCGAGACUCAGUGAAAUUGAACUCGCUGUGAAGAUGCAGUGUACCCGCGGCAAGACGGAAAGACCCCGUGAACCUUUACUAUAGCUUGACACUGAACAUUGAGCCUUGAUGUGUAGGAUAGGUGGGAGGCUUUGAAGUGUGGACGCCAGUCUGCAUGGAGCCGACCUUGAAAUACCACCCUUUAAUGUUUGAUGUUCUAACGUUGACCCGUAAUCCGGGUUGCGGACAGUGUCUGGUGGGUAGUUUGACUGGGGCGGUCUCCUCCUAAAGAGUAACGGAGGAGCACGAAGGUUGGCUAAUCCUGGUCGGACAUCAGGAGGUUAGUGCAAUGGCAUAAGCCAGCUUGACUGCGAGCGUGACGGCGCGAGCAGGUGCGAAAGCAGGUCAUAGUGAUCCGGUGGUUCUGAAUGGAAGGGCCAUCGCUCAACGGAUAAAAGGUACUCCGGGGAUAACAGGCUGAUACCGCCCAAGAGUUCAUAUCGACGGCGGUGUUUGGCACCUCGAUGUCGGCUCAUCACAUCCUGGGGCUGAAGUAGGUCCCAAGGGUAUGGCUGUUCGCCAUUUAAAGUGGUACGCGAGCUGGGUUUAGAACGUCGUGAGACAGUUCGGUCCCUAUCUGCCGUGGGCGCUGGAGAACUGAGGGGGGCUGCUCCUAGUACGAGAGGACCGGAGUGGACGCAUCACUGGUGUUCGGGUUGUCAUGCCAAUGGCACUGCCCGGUAGCUAAAUGCGGAAGAGAUAAGUGCUGAAAGCAUCUAAGCACGAAACUUGCCCCGAGAUGAGUUCUCCCUGACUCCUUGAGAGUCCUGAAGGAACGUUGAAGACGACGACGUUGAUAGGCCGGGUGUGUAAGCGCAGCGAUGCGUUGAGCUAACCGGUACUAAUGAACCGUGAGGCUUAACCUUACAACGCCGAAG
RNAcentral lists this ribosomal RNA (2927 nucleotides) under Escherichia coli. Its description in RNAcentral is "bacterial LSU rRNA". It matches the Rfam family "Bacterial large subunit ribosomal RNA". Lineage: Bacteria; Pseudomonadati; Pseudomonadota; Gammaproteobacteria; Enterobacterales; Enterobacteriaceae. The record is from RNAcentral.